Small nuclear RNA from Jaculus jaculus (lesser Egyptian jerboa), 107 nucleotides. Lineage: Eukaryota; Metazoa; Chordata; Mammalia; Rodentia; Dipodidae. The record is from Ensembl.
GUGCUCUCUUUGGCAGCGCAUACACUAAAAUUGCAACACUGCAAAAAUGAAUAGCAUGGCCCCUGCACAAGGAUAACAUGCAAAUUUGUGAAGCAUUCCAUGUCUUU